This is a non-coding RNA of Dermacentor andersoni, 355 nucleotides long. The record is from RefSeq and is a predicted model, not a curated record. Lineage: Eukaryota; Metazoa; Arthropoda; Arachnida; Ixodida; Ixodidae.
AGAAGAAGAAGAGGGACUGCCGGACAUGGGAUGCGCACCAAGCAAGAGCAGGCAAUCGGCUCGAAAAUGUGCACUUGGAUAUGCGUUACUCAAUGUCGCAUUCCUGAUCGUCGAGGUGACGCUCAUGAUAGCGAUGGCAUCGCUUGGCAAUCCGAAUAGACAGAUUGAGCCUCAUGAUAUUCAGCUCGACAGCCAUGCUUGGGCGCCUUGCAGGAAUGCUCUUGUACGCCGCUGCCUACUUGCUCUACGACCCGUUCAAGGUGAGUGAAACAAUGAUCUCCAACGCUUCGAUUAAAUUAACCAAUCGCCUGCUAUGCUGCUACAUUGGGCCUCACAACGAGCCUCCCUGGCCUCG